AUGCGGGUGGCUCAGUUGGUGGAGCGUGAGACUCUUGAUCUCAGGGUCGUGAGUUCAAGCCCCACAUUGAAUG
Molecule: transfer RNA, 73 nt
Filed under: Mustela putorius furo (domestic ferret)
Lineage: Eukaryota; Metazoa; Chordata; Mammalia; Carnivora; Mustelidae
Rfam family: tRNA
About the family: Transfer RNA (tRNA) molecules are approximately 80 nucleotides in length. Their secondary structure includes four short double-helical elements and three loops (D, anti-codon, and T loops).
Source: Rfam by way of RNAcentral